This 329-nucleotide unclassified non-coding RNA is filed under the name soil metagenome. RNAcentral's name for it is "partial contains 5.8S ribosomal RNA, internal transcribed spacer 2, and large subunit ribosomal RNA". The stretch from base 1 to 120 matches the Rfam family "5.8S ribosomal RNA", at positions 35 to 154 of the family's 154-position model. The record is from RNAcentral.
GAUGAAGAACGUAGCGAAAUGCGAUAAGUAAUGUGAAUUGCAGAAUUCAGUGAAUCAUCGAAUCUUUGAACGCACAUUGCGCCCUCUGGUAUUCCGGGGGGCAUGCCUGUUCGAGCGUCAUUAUAACCACUCAAGCUCUCGCUUGGUAUUGGGGUUCGCGGUUCCGCGGCCCCUAAAAUCAGUGGCGGUGCCUGUCGGCUCUACGCGUAGUAAUACUCCUCGCGAUUGAGUCCGGUAGGUCUACUUGCCAGCAACCCCCAAUUUUUACAGGUUGACCUCGGAUCAGGUAGGACUACCCGCUGAACUUAAGCAUAUCAAUAAGCGGAGGA